UUAUAGAUAGAUAGAUUUGCUCUUAUCUACAGAUUAAACACAAAGGAGAGAUAUCAAUCCUAACGUCCUAGCCAUACAAAAUCACGCACGCACGCCCUACCAACUUGCUACACACGGUUUAUACAUGUACCAUGUAUUUUACAGAGAAUACAAUGUCUAACAAGUAGGUCAUGUUCAAACAUGGCACACCGCCUCUUUUCUUCCAUUUUGCUCUUGUACUUUCCUGCUUAGACGUUUCUCAUUGCAUCACGCACCUCAUGAGGAACAUGAUCACACGGCUUCACUUGAUUUCCCAACCCAGAUACUCCCUCCGUUCCUAAAUGUAAGUCUUUUUAGAGAUUCCACUACAAACUAUAUACGGAUGUAUAUACACAUAUUUUAGAGUGUAGAUUCACUCAUUUUGCUUCGUAUGUAGUCCAUAGUGGAUUAUCUAAAAAGACUUAUAUUUAGGAACGAAAGGAGUAGAUGUUACACGAACCGGGUAGCCCCUCCACCACUGUAUGUGAUCCCACAAUGAAAGCACCUGAAUCCUUGUUCGCCACACUUUGGGCCAUGAUUCCACACAUAAUUAAUGCCUCCUGUGUGAACAUGCACGGUGCCUGCAUUCCAUAUUUCCAUGUAAACAAAAUUCCAUUUCCAUCGCAACAAAAUCAAAUGAAGACGAGAAGAAACACUUAUAUAGCAUCGAUCUUUAUAAUGAUGCAAACACGGAGCUUUGUAUUGAUGAAUUCAUGGUGUUUAAAAUAAACUAGAAUCUUAGAAUAUCUUGCACCACUAUUGCAGGUUUACAAUUGACAUCCAAUCCCAAUUGAUAUCAGCCCUGUGUUCAAACAAUUUGAAUGGGUUCAAACAGGCUUUGGAUUUGGCCAUUCAUGAUUCAUGAGUUCAUGAUGCUCUAUGUGAUAGGUCCAACACAUGCAACUCGAAAUGUAGGAGGAACUUCUG
RNAcentral lists this long non-coding RNA (945 nucleotides) under Triticum aestivum (bread wheat). RNAcentral's name for it is "long non-coding RNA (TAES_LNC002456)". Lineage: Eukaryota; Viridiplantae; Streptophyta; Magnoliopsida; Poales; Poaceae. The record is from RNAcentral.